RNAcentral lists this ribosomal RNA (465 nucleotides) under Vreelandella stevensii. RNAcentral describes it as "partial 16S ribosomal RNA". It matches the Rfam family "Bacterial small subunit ribosomal RNA", at positions 338 to 795 of the family's 1533-position model. The record is from RNAcentral. Lineage: Bacteria; Pseudomonadati; Pseudomonadota; Gammaproteobacteria; Oceanospirillales; Halomonadaceae.
CCUACGGGAGGCUGCAGUGGGGAAUAUUGGACAAUGGGGGGAACCCUGAUCCAGCCAUGCCGCGUGUGUGAAGAAGGCCCUCGGGUUGUAAAGCACUUUCAGUGAGGAAGAACGCCUGGUGGUUAAUACCCAUCAGGAAAGACAUCACUCACAGAAGAAGCACCGGCUAACUCCGUGCCAGCAGCCGCGGUAAUACGGAGGGUGCGAGCGUUAAUCGGAAUUACUGGGCGUAAAGCGCGCGUAGGUGGCUUGAUAAGCCGGUUGUGAAAGCCCCGGGCUCAACCUGGGAACGGCAUCCGGAACUGUCAAGCUAGAGUGCAGGAGAGGAAGGUAGAAUUCCCGGUGUAGCGUUGAAAUGCGUAGAGAUCGGGAGGAAUACCAGUGGCGAAGGCGGCCUUCUGGACUGACACUGACACUGAGGUGCGAAGGCGUGGGUAGCAAACAGGAUUAGAUACCCCAGUAGUC